AGUACACACUGUAAUGAAAGGUCAUAAACACCAAUGUAUCAUUUUUACAGUACGAAAGCAAGCCUCCACUUCCAGAACACAAGCAACACUGUCAAGAGCUGUGGAUGCUGGCGAUACAGGAACUUCAACAUCGCAUCACAGUCCACAAAGACGUCCUUCACAGGGGUCUGGCAGCCACACGAGCAGGCCUAGCAAGAGACGUCAUCCUGACGACGCACCAACACCAGCAUUAAGCACACCCCCACGUCGUAUUUCCACUGUGUUGCCUCAGCCACCAGAACACUCGAUCACAGGGUCCACAUUCCCCUCAGCUGUCUGAACCAGACAUCAUGCCCCCGGAAGCCCAGCAGGAAUCUGAACAGGAAACAUACACCCUCCAACUGCAAGCAAUAAAUGUUCACCAACCAAUCACGCCUCAGGAAAGUACCCCGCCACCUCAAAUGUCACCACACCCACAAUUGAGCCAAACAACCCCACCCCACCAACCUGAGCCAUCCUUUUGGUCAACAUGGAACCAACAACAGGCACAGAAUAUUGAUUGCCUACGCACACACACCCAAUACCUAGCCUGUCUGCCCCAUCAUCUACCGAGACUGUGUAGAAACACAAGCAGGCUCAAUGUCCAGCUAUGCAGAGUCGCAAACAGUAUGGAGCAGAUGAGAGCAGAUAACAGCCAACUUAUUGUUACCUUUCAGCGCAUAAUGGAUGAGCAACACCGACAACAACAGGCCCUCAUUCAGUUAAUUCAAAGUAAUCAAAUUAUAUCAGAAACCAUGUCUCGCAUCAUAGACAACAACACAACAGCCACAACACAACUUACCGCAACCCUGGCAAACCUCAGCCAAAAUAUUAAUUUGUUGGCACAACACCAACAAGGUUCCAGCUCAGGAACCAACACACCUACACAGACCCCAAUUUCAUCACCAGUUCGAAGAUCCAGCCGAACCCGCUCCACUGCCCAAACCAAACCCACGUCAGCCACCAAAGAACAGCCUAAGAAAUAGUCCACCCUGCAGCUGGAUACACAUUGUUGACAAAACUAGGUCUACACAAUAGCAGUUAUUUGUAAUGAAAACACAUGUUGUACAGUAAUACAUGUGAAAAGUGAUUGAUGUGCAAUGUGUUAUGUGUAAAAAAACUGUCAGUGUAAGAGCAAAUUUCUUAGAGUUAACACUCACAUGUGUUGGGAAUAUUCUAGCAUCAUUACUAACAUGAACGUUUACCACAUCACAGCCAUAAUUAUGUGUCAAAAAUUUUGUAAGGUUGGUGUUAGUCAAUGUAUGUAUGGCUAAUUGGCACACAAUACUAAAUGUCCAUUAUGUUGUGCUAAUGAGGUAACAUUUGAAACACAGCUUUAGAAGAAAGUCGACACACAACAAACACAAACAAUAGGCUAAACAAUAAUGGUUGUUAGUGCAUACUAAAUUAUUAUGUAGUAUUGUGGCAAACAUUACCUUUGAAUGUGUUUAAAAAACUUUGAACAUCCAAAUAUAUCAUCAAACGAUAUACUUCGUUCUCACACCAGAGCAUGUGCUCUAUUGCCUUACUCUCCAUAUACAACUAUGUUUCUAAACAUAUUGCAUAGAGCUUACUUGUCCCCUAACAGGAGUUUCUUGAUAGGUAAUUCACCAAAUUCCAAUUGUUACAAAUGUGGAGCUAACUCAGCAGAAUUAUUUCACUGUCUUUGGGAUUGCCCCGUAAUUCGAGGUUUUUGGACUCAGGUCAGGAAAUAUUCUACUGAUAGCUUGAUCAACUACAUCCCUAUGACACCUGAAUGGGCCCUGUUUGGUAUGCUUCCCCCUAAUACCCGUACAUCACAUGGGGGCAAGAGGCUCUUGCUGGCUAUAGGAGCAGCGGCCUGCAAAACCAUUUUACAAACUUGGUUACAACCCUCUCAGCCACUGUUGGCACUUUUUAAAGCUAAAUUACACUACCUAUUUAGGAUGCAGUGGGUGGAGGUGGUGCUGGAUAGAGAAAACAAAGUUGAGAGGUUCUUUCUAACGUGGGAGUCAUAUAUAGCUACCUUGUCACUGCCGUUAAGGACCCAAAUCCACAAUAGCUUUAAGGAUACAGUUUGGUAUAUGUCGCAGAUGGUCGCUAAUGACCCUCCG
Molecule: long non-coding RNA, 2111 nt
Organism: Pseudophryne corroboree (corroboree frog)
Lineage: Eukaryota; Metazoa; Chordata; Amphibia; Anura; Myobatrachidae
Exons: 3
Source: RefSeq, a predicted model, not a curated record